Molecule: ribosomal RNA, 468 nt
Filed under: Triticum aestivum (bread wheat)
Lineage: Eukaryota; Viridiplantae; Streptophyta; Magnoliopsida; Poales; Poaceae
Description: partial small subunit ribosomal RNA
Source: RNAcentral
AUACUAGAGCCGAACCCUUAUGCGCAGGCUUUCAAGAGCCUUGGUUAUGUUCCGAAUCUAGAUGAGUACAAGAUCUCACUCAACACAGAUAUCAAGUUGGAUCAGCGUAGGUACAAUGCCCCAACGACUUCUCAGGUGGCAGCAAUAUGGGUUGAGGGGAGGGACCAACAAAAUUGUUUUGACAGGAGUGUUGUCGGUCUUGUUGACACCACUGUUGCCGGCAAGUCACGCGGUGAUCGAAUUGGCAAGAGAAUCGUGCUUCCACGUACGUUUCCUGGUGGUGAUCGUGACAUGCAGCGGAGGUUGCUGGAUGCGAUGGCAAUAGUCCAACGGUCGGGUAAACCGGAUUAUUUUAUCACAAUGACUUGCAAUCCAUAUUGGGAGGAGAUAACCCAGAAUCUGAUGCCUGGACAACUGCCACAAGACUGUCCAGACCUUGUGGCAAGAGUAUACAAGGCUAAACAGUGA